AAGGGCUGGCCGCCAUCCUUUCUGGUCGGGGUGGCUGCGGUGCGGGCUUCCGGCUUAGGGGUUGCAUGUUCUGAGUUGCUUAGGCCUGGCCCCACCUCCAGCCAUUGGACUGGGCGAACUCGGAGUCAUACACAGAGAAGGGGUGGCUCAAGGCGAAGGCAGGCUGGAGACACUCGGCCGAGGGCGCCCGGCCGGACGGAAGUCCCAGUCUCCGGGGCGCGCAGCCCGCUCCGGAUCCGGAAGCGCCCGCGGCCCGCGCUGCCGAGGCCCAGGAGCUCUAGGGGCCGCCUUGGCCUCCCCUGCUUCCGCCUAGCCGCCGGUACAGCCAGACAGGCUCGCUUCGCACGUUUCAGAUGCAGCAUCCACUGCAGACGGCGAGGUACUAGCGCAGCAGCAAAGGACUGGAAGUGGCGACUUUGGGACGAAGGGCCAGGAGACAAGUUGUCGCUUUUCCUGGAUCGCACAGCUUUGGGCAGUCCCUGCGCUUGUCUGCGCCUGCGUUUUCUUCCUGCGGUGGAGGUAACGCUCUUUCCACUUCCUCACUCAGGUGGUAUGGAGCUCGAGGUCGAACACGUUUUUUGUUACAUGAACCAAGAGCUGAGACUUAAUGUGUCGCAACAAUUCUGGUGUUUACGCAGCACCGUGAAGAGUACUCUCAGAGAUGCUUCUCUCAGCACCCUGCAGUGGCCUGCCUCCCAAGCUGCCUCCUUUCCCAGAGACUUCCCGUAUUCACCUGUCCUAAGGCAGGGACGCUGAAGGGGGCGAGAGAGGGAGAAGAUCUCUUGGACCGCUGGUCUCUCUUCUUGAAGCUUCUGGGGAAAUGUGAAAGAAGCCUUUUUCAGUUCCAGUGGAUUAAUGAGUUUGCAAAUUCUGUUUGGUUGGGGAAGUAGUCAAGGCUCGGAGGAGCCCACUCGUGACCAGUUGUGGAUAUGCUCCAGGAGGAGGGGCACCCUGGGGCAGACUGAGGGGUGGGGUGGGGGGAGGGCUCUGUGUCUACAGGGCGAAUGUGACUGCUGAGUACAUAGGUGCUCAAACACCCAGCCGCAGAGUGUAAGACAAGCCUUCCGUGGAUUUGUGCUUUCUUGGCCUUGCACAGGUUCACCCUUGCAUGAGGAAAAAAGGCAGUCACACAAGUGCUCUGAAUCUUAGCUGUCCUGCAGCUGGAUAUUCCAAGCAUGCAGAUUGAGACAUAAAGAAGCCUCGAACGUGGCCGAGAGGACAGUAUGGCACAUGGACAUGGAUUAAAAUAGCUGCAAUUAGUAAAUCUCACGUUUGAGAAAUUUGCUGAAGCACGUGGAUCUUCUGACUUGUCCCAGAAGCACAAUAAAACCAAACCUGCUACUUUCAAAGUAAGAACUAUGACAGAAACAAAACAAAAAAUUGAAAUAAUUAACAAUGGUUUGAAGUAUAAUUAUUUGUCUCUAGAGAAACAAAGGAAGUCAAACUCAUUUCAAAUGUCAGAGGAAGACUCUAUGGUACUUAGGCCACACAAACCAUGCUGGAAGUUUCUACAGAAGACUUUCCUUGGGUGAGUAGAAGCCUUACCACCACCCUGAUAAUGGGCAGGGACUGUCUCUCCACCUCUGAACUGGUUCUUAGCUAUAGCAAGAACUAGCAGAGUCCUUGCAGAUUUUAUCUUCAGUUCAUACUCUUAAAAUCUGACAUGAAGAAGUGAGACAAAGCCAAGAAUUACGUGGCCUUUAGCUGUGGAAAUUAAGUCAUCUCACAAUUGGUUGCUAAGAAUACUUGGAACUGGCAAGAAAAAUGUAAAGCAAUGUCUAGAGUUUUCCUUCUGUGUGCAAUAUUGAUUUACUUCCUUGCUAUAGACGUCAUUCUGAGGAAGAUUGGUGUGGGUGAGGGAGAAGUGGAGCAUGAGUAUCAGCCAUGAUCUGUUGUUGGCUGCAAAGCCAGGUACCUCCGGAGCUGUUGGAGUAACCACUAAGAAAAUCAGGUGAAGUGCAUCCGCCCUGUCCAGCUUGUUGGUUUCACUGGUUUCCCAGUGGGGAAAUCCCAGCCCUGCAACACACAGCGAGAGAGGCGGCCAUGUGGCUGGCUUUGUGUUUGUUGGCUCUUGCAGCUCAUCCCUGUGACCCAGGAGAUGUGGCUCUGGGUUGUGGACAGAGGCUCUUGGAAGUACUCCUGUUGGUAGGUAAUUUCAGUCUUUGAAACCCAACCAACCAACUGGCCAGUCAGUGCACCCUCAUGGGUGCUGCUGGAGCUGGGAACGUCCUCUGUCCCGAGACCCCUGCCUUCCUCAGUGAGGUGCUGUGUGAACGUGGACCCAUGGGAAGGGGAUAUUCCAUAGGCUUUGCCAUAUCCAGGAUGUUGUAAUGUGAAAUUUACAACCACAAAUAUUAUUCUCACUUUUUAAAUUAAAAAACAGACCCAGAAAUACAUGUGAAAGGUGAAAAGUUAGUCAGUUACUCUGGGACAAAUCCUGUUUUGCUUUUUCACAUAACUUUCAUCUGUUAGCAUGAAGGCUGUACCUUUUAUUUCCAGUUGACCUUGAAUUUGGAACAUUUCAAAUGAUACCCUUGAAAACUUAGAAGUCAAGUGGAACCGGCCUGCUAAUUUGAUGACGACGAGGCCUUCAAGGUGACUUUAAAGGAGGGCCAACUGCUCACUGAGGAACGUGGAAGGGAGGGGAGAGAUACGCCAUAACUCAUCUCGAGAGCCCCAGAAGAGUUAUCAUCUCAUUCUCUGAAGCAAGUAGGGCCUCCAGAGAUGGGGAGGUGCUCUGGGAUUAGGAAUAACCCUGGGCCUUCAGCCCUGGGAUUUCCCUUUCAACCUGCUCUGCUUUCUCAUUUCAUGAUGCGAGUAGAGUGGCUGGCAGUCCCCAGGGUGGGCGAAUGGUUCCCUCUGUGGCUCCACGCAGAGCUGGUCAGAGUGCUGUGGAGGGAGGGUGCCCGUCCUCAGUGCGUCCCCUCGGUGAUCCCUUGUCACUGCCACCUCUGAAGCCUCUUGGCCUCACAGAGGGAUGUGAUAGGCAGCCUGCCAAGGACUACAUUCGCAGGAUUAACAGCAAGGCUAAUACCGUGAGGUCCUCUGAGUUCACCACAGCAGCAGAGGCCAGGCUUGGGCCAGGCGUGGGCCUCAGAAUCCGUGUCACAUCUAGGCCUGGCCUGAUGACGUCAGAGGCACAACGGUCCCAUUGUGUUUGACUUGUGCUUAGUUGUUUUCACUCCAUAGCAAGAGUUCAAUUUAUAAUUUUAGUAUAUGGAUGCUAAGCAUGUGUGUAGCGGCCCCCUCCCCGCACCAGGGAUUGAAUUCAGGACCUUGGGCUUGCCAGGCAGGUGCAGCACAAUGGAGCUACAUCCCCGGCCCUGUCUAAGCGUUCUUUUCCAUCUUAUUUGUAAACUAGCUGAAACACUUCUAGCAGCUCUUCAAAACCAGAUCCUUUGUUCUUGGCAGUUGUUUGAGUAUUGCUGAUUUUGUUUCUGCUUUUUGAGUAAUGUGACCCCAUUUUUGGAAAAAUCGGAUUAGGAAAAUAUAAAAGAAAUUUGAAAUAUUCAGUCUUUUUGCCAGGUACUACCUUGAGUGCCAUUUUUAUGUAUGUUCCGUGUAGUCUUCUCUACAUGAGUAUUAAAACCAUGAUCAUAGACUA
Molecule: long non-coding RNA, 3604 nt
Organism: Heterocephalus glaber (naked mole-rat)
Lineage: Eukaryota; Metazoa; Chordata; Mammalia; Rodentia; Bathyergidae
Source: RefSeq, a predicted model, not a curated record